AGAAAAGAUGUGAAUUUUAUUUAGAUAACAAUAAUAACAGAAUUACAACAAGUGUAUUUAAAGACAGAAAGUAAAUCACGGAGGCAAUAUAUGGUAUCUUUUUCCAUAAUUCAAUAAAUUGGUUGUAAGUGCAUUCGGACAAUCAUGAUUUAUGAAUUCCAGGAUACAACCGAUCACAAACUAAUACACGAGCACACGAGUAAUAGACUCAAGCGAACUUGAUCUACGAUAUACUCUCGAACUUACUUUUAAGAAGCAAGAGAGAUGCGAGAUUUUA
This 277-nucleotide long non-coding RNA is filed under the name Arabidopsis lyrata. Its description in RNAcentral is "long non-coding RNA (ALYR_LNC003221)". Lineage: Eukaryota; Viridiplantae; Streptophyta; Magnoliopsida; Brassicales; Brassicaceae. The record is from RNAcentral.